Non-coding RNA from Peromyscus maniculatus bairdii (prairie deer mouse), 856 nucleotides. The record is from RefSeq and is a predicted model, not a curated record. NCBI's taxonomy places the organism in Eukaryota, Metazoa, Chordata, Mammalia, Rodentia, Cricetidae.
CUCAGCACGAAGGGUGGGUGGAGCCCCGGGCUCAGCCCUCAAACUUCUUCUUGCGGCCCUCCAUUCCACUCAGCGCGUCGAUGUUCUUCCGCCAGUCUCCCACCUCCCGGUUCUCCUGGAGGUGAGAGGUCAGAAGCUCUGACUUCCAGAUGUUCCUCGGGGCCCUUCCGUCAAAGUUUCUGACACAGCUCAGCCCAGCAAUGUGCAGAUCAUGACUGCCUGACCCAGGUCUCCACUCAUUUACUACUACUCCGUACUUGAGUCACCCUUCUCCACAGACCUGUGUAUGCCACCCAGGCUCCGCCUCGCGUGUGCUGUCUCUGCAGAAACAGCUUCCUUUGCCAAGGUGUAGCCCCUCCACUAAUUCUAUCAAGCACAAGCAGACGGAGCCCUCAGCCUGAAGGGACAGACCUGGAGACCUCAGUCUACCAUGUAGGUGCCCAGACUUCCCCAAGGUCCCCACCUCGGUGAUGUUUUUGGUGACUUUUGCUUCCACAUCGUAUCUCUCUUCAUCCACUUUGUCCACCCGGGCAUGGAGCUGCCGGCAUAAGUCCUGAUGAAGAAAUGCAUGCGUGUUGAGAGGGAGGCUGGCUGGAGACGGGGUUCCCUGGCCUGAGGGAGGAGGCCUUGGAUCUAGAUCCCUGGGUCUGAGGGAGGAGGCCUGGGCUCUACAUCCCUGAGUUUGAGAGAGACGUGCUGAGGUCUGGACUCCUGCACCUGAGGAAAGCGGGGCUGGAAGGAAGCAAGAUUGGAAUCCGGACUCCAGGAAACUUAAAGAAAUGUGGCUAGGAACCAAGAAUCCUGAGACUUGGCAGGCAACGGUUGGAGCAAUACACUGGGGUUUUUUGUUGUUGUU